This 526-nucleotide ribosomal RNA is filed under the name uncultured bacterium. RNAcentral describes it as "bacterial SSU rRNA". It matches the Rfam family "Bacterial small subunit ribosomal RNA", at positions 774 to 1297 of the family's 1533-position model. The record is from RNAcentral.
ACGCAAUAGAUACCCUGGUAGUCCACGCCGUAAACGAUGAGUGCUAAGUGUUAGAGGGUUUCCGCCCUUUAGUGCUGCAGCUAACGCAUUAAGCACUCCGCCUGGGGAGUACGGUCGCAAGACUGAAACUCAAAGGAAUUGACGGGGGCCCGCACAAGCGGUGGAGCAUGUGGUUUAAUUCGAAGCAACGCGAAGAACCUUACCAGGUCUUGACAUCCUCUGACAACUCUAGAGAUAGAGCGUUCCCCUUCGGGGGACAGAGUGGCAGGUGGUGCAUGGUUGUCGUCAGCUCGUGUCGUGAGAUGUUGGGUUAAGUCCCGCAACGAGCGCAACCCUUGAUCUUAGUUGCCAGCAUUUAGUUGGGCACUCUAAGGUGACUGCCGGUGACAAACCGGAGGAAGGUGGGGAUGACGUCAAAUCAUCAUGCCCCUCAUGACCUGGGCUACACACGUGCUACAAUGGAUGGUACAAAGGGCUGCAAGACCGCGAGGUCAAGCCAAUCCCAUAAAACCAUUCUCAGUUCGGA